GAUGAAGAACGCAGCGAAAUGCGAUAAGUAAUGUGAAUUGCAGAAUUCAGUGAAUCAUCGAAUCUUUGAACGCACCUUGCGCUCCCUGGUAUCCCGGGGAGCACGCCUGUUCGAGUGUCGCGAUAUUCUUCAAGCCUUGGAUGGAUUUUUUUUUUGUCUGUCCUUGGGCUUGGUUGUUGGGCUCUGCCGUGUCCUUCAUUGGGACGGCUGGCCUUAAAAGCAUUAGCCGAUCCUCGUGUGGUACUGGUUCUACUCAGCGUGAUAACAAUCUGAUCGUUGAGGACAUCUUCUGGAUGGCCAGUCAUCAUUUGGGUUGCUUCUAAACCGGUUUCGCAGAUUGCUCAAUCUGUGUGCCACUUUUCAGCUUUGACCUCGAAUCAGGUGGGACUACCCGCUGAACUUAAGCAUAUCAAUAAGCGGAGGA
Molecule: unclassified non-coding RNA, 424 nt
Filed under: soil metagenome
Description: partial contains 5.8S ribosomal RNA, internal transcribed spacer 2, and large subunit ribosomal RNA
Rfam family: 5.8S ribosomal RNA (bases 1-120)
Source: RNAcentral